CCUACGGGUGGCUGCAGUGGGGAAUAUUGGACAAUGGGCGAAAGCCUGAUCCAGCCAUGCCGCGUGUGUGAAGAAGGCCUUCGGGUUGUAAAGCACUUUCAGUGGGGAAGAAAGCCUUGGGGCUAAUACCCUCGAGGAAGGACAUCACCCACAGAAGAAGCACCGGCUAACUCCGUGCCAGCAGCCGCGGUAAUACGGAGGGUGCGAGCGUUAAUCGGAAUUACUGGGCGUAAAGCGCGCGUAGGCGGUCUGAUAAGCCGGUUGUGAAAGCCCCGGGCUCAACCUGGGAACGGCAUCCGGAACUGUCAGGCUAGAGUGCAGGAGAGGAAGGUAGAAUUCCCGGUGUAGCAGUGAAAUGCGUAGAGAUCGGGAGGAAUACCAGUGGCGAAGGCGGCCUUCUGGACUGACACUGACGCUGAGGUGCGAAAGCGUGGGUAGCAAACAGGAUUAGAUACCCCGGUAGUC
RNAcentral lists this ribosomal RNA (465 nucleotides) under Vreelandella stevensii. Its description in RNAcentral is "partial 16S ribosomal RNA". It matches the Rfam family "Bacterial small subunit ribosomal RNA", at positions 338 to 795 of the family's 1533-position model. The record is from RNAcentral. Lineage: Bacteria; Pseudomonadati; Pseudomonadota; Gammaproteobacteria; Oceanospirillales; Halomonadaceae.